CAUUAAAUAGCUGCAAGCGGAACUUUGGCGCUCUCUCGGCCUUAGCGCCAUCUUCUCGGAAACCUCUGCGCCAUGAGAGCCAAGUGGAGGAAGAAGCGAAUGCGCAGGCUGAAGCGCAAAAGAAGAAAGAUGAGGCAGAGGUCCAAGUAAACUAGCUUGUGCACCGUGGAGGCCAAAGGAGUGCCAGGGGCCGGGGACGUUGGUACAAGUUGGGCUGCCUCCUACUGUCCACAUUUUGUCUCGGUGGAUUUAAGAACUUACAUCGCCACCUCGUCGUCAAGAUCACCACUGAGAGAAGACCCACCUUGCUUUUAACAUCCCCUGUUGGUCCUUUGCCCGGGACCUUUGGCAUUCUGGACUAACUCGUUUCUCAGUUGUGGCCAGUGUAACGCGUGUACAAUAAAUCAUCCCUUCUGUUUUAGCUGAAGAAUUCAAA
This is a non-coding RNA of Marmota flaviventris (yellow-bellied marmot), 436 nucleotides long. The record is from RefSeq and is a predicted model, not a curated record. Lineage: Eukaryota; Metazoa; Chordata; Mammalia; Rodentia; Sciuridae.